GAUGAAGAACGUAGCGAAAUGCGAUACGUAAUGUGAAUUGCAGAAUUCAGUGAAUCAUCGAGUCUUUGAACGCACAUUGCGCCCCCUGGUAUUCCGGGGGGCAUGCCUGUCCGAGCGUCAUUGCUGCCCUCAAGCACGGCUUGUGUGUUGGGCCUCCGCCCCCCGGCUCCCGGGGGGCGGGCCCGAAAGGCAGCGGCGGCACCGCGUCCGGUCCUCGAGCGUAUGGGGCUUCGUCACCCGCUCCGUAGGCCCGGCCGGCGCCCGCCGGAGACCCCCCUCAAUCUUUCCAGGUUGACCUCGGAUCAGGUAGGGAUACCCGCUGAACUUAAGCAUAUCAAUAAGCGGAGGA
Molecule: unclassified non-coding RNA, 349 nt
Filed under: soil metagenome
Description: partial contains 5.8S ribosomal RNA, internal transcribed spacer 2, and large subunit ribosomal RNA
Rfam family: 5.8S ribosomal RNA (bases 1-120)
Source: RNAcentral